CCUACGGGGUGCAGCAGUGGGGAAUAUUGCACAAUGGAGGCAACUCUGAUGCAGCGACGCCGCGUGCGUGAAGAAGUAUUUCGGUAUGUAAAGCUCUAUCAGCAGGAACGAGACAAGACGGUACCUGACUAAGAAGCCCCGACUAACUACGUGCCAGCAGCCGCGGUAAUACGUAGGGGGCAAGCGUUAUCCGGAUUCACUGGGUGUAAAGGGAGCGUAGACGGCUGAGCAAGUCUGAGGUGAAAGGCAGGGGCCCAACCCCUGGACUGCUUUGGGAACUGUGCGGCUGGAGUUCAGGAGGGGUAGGUGGAAUUCCUGGUGUAGCGGUGAAAUGCAUAGAGAUUAGAAGGAACACCGGUGGCGAAGGCGGCUUACUGGACUGUAACUGACGUUGAGGCUCGAAAGCGUGGGGAGCAAACAGGAUUAGAUACCCUAGUAGUC
This 441-nucleotide ribosomal RNA is filed under the name uncultured bacterium. Its description in RNAcentral is "partial 16S ribosomal RNA". It matches the Rfam family "Bacterial small subunit ribosomal RNA", at positions 338 to 795 of the family's 1533-position model. The record is from RNAcentral.